Molecule: long non-coding RNA, 3344 nt
Organism: Pyrus x bretschneideri (Chinese white pear)
Lineage: Eukaryota; Viridiplantae; Streptophyta; Magnoliopsida; Rosales; Rosaceae
Exons: 3
Source: RefSeq, a predicted model, not a curated record
GGACACCCAUAGGACACCCAAACCCAAACUCCGGCGAGCCCAGUGGGUUUCAAGCAAGGAAACGGCCACCUCCGGCCAUUCCACGACAAUUAGGAGACUUAGAUUCGAGGCGUACAAUCCCGGCAUCAAGGCACUCCCGCAUUGGCAUCUUCGAAUCCUCUCGGUCAUGUACCUACCCUGGUAUUCGGGGAAUAUCAGGAUCGGGCGUGUCAUCAUCCCUUCAUCUUUGUACUUCAAAUCAAAAACUUCUAUCACCAGGUUAUGUGCAAGAGGAUCUCCUCCCUUAUAUCUGCUUGGCUUUCUUUAGAUUUUUUCUUUCCAAAGUAAAAAUAUCAAGACAAGUAGAGCAUUCAUUCCUGAAAAAUCAAAAAUUGUAAUCUUUCAAACUGAUCUUAUACACCUUGGCAAUAAUAAGUGCUGAGUUUAACACUUGUUAACUAGUUUUUAGUCUAUUGUUAUGUUUCUUCUUAAUGUUGAAAGAGAUCCUAAGUUCGAAUCUCAUUUUUCAUUGAUAAAUGAAAAACGCAGCUACAGAGUAUCUCAAAAAUUGAUGAAGCUGAAUAUUGGGUCGUUUAAAUGUAAUUUUGAUGUGGCAUGGGACGAAUAAAGGGGUGUUGUGGUGUUAGAGUGGUGAUUCGGAAUGAUAGCGGUGACUUUGUGGCAGCUAUGGCAACUAGGCAUGUCACUAUUUCCUCUCCUCAACUAGCCGACACUAUGGCAGCUAAGGAUGCGAUUUUUUUGGUCAAGGAGAGGCAACUACGAGCUGCAGUGUUUGAAGGUGAUGCGUUGCUUAUUAUGGUAGCCCAACAACAUGAUGGUCAUGAGGACUUUUCGCCGUUCGGAAUAUUCUAAAUGAUACUCGAUCGUUGAUUCAUUCAUUGCCUCAGUGGAAGAUUGGUUACAAGGGAAGGGAGAUGAAGAAAGUGGUGCAUAGAUUAGCACGAAUGAGUCUGAGUAGUGAGAAUUCUAUUCUUUGGUUUGAAGAACCUCCUGAUCUAAUUGUGGACCUUCUCUUUGAGGAUAGUUUUUCUUAAUUUGUUUGGCGUGGGACAUUUUUUUCCCUUCAACUGGGUUAAAAUCCCAGAUAAGGUUUUUAUCGAGGCCCAAUGUAUGCACCCUAUCAUCAUUGAUUGUACGUAUUCUCUUCUUUAUCGAAUAUCGUACCUUUUCUAAAAAAAAAGCUACACCUAAACUUGAACACAAAGGAGACAAUAUUUCAAACCAAUUAUGUGUUAACAGAAGCAUAAGUCAAAACGCAUGACAAAAAGUGAUGAGCUUCGGAUAUCAUCCCAAUUUGGCAUCACCCUCCAAAUUAGGAUUUCAUGAGCUUUGUCCUCUAAUCUUGGUCUUUUUACUUUAUGUGCAAAUAACUUACGUGCACCUAGAAUGUCAAAAUAUUAGUAUCACAAACAAAUCAUGCACUUUCAUGUGAGUAAAAAGUUAACAAAUAAAAGAAUGUUAUACGUUUCAGAUAUCUUGUCAAAUAAAACGUCAAAUUGACAACAUCACAAGUAAAUCAAUUUCCCUCCAAAGUUGCAAACUAGGGUUUUGUGAGCUUAUUCCUCUAAACCCAUUUGGGUUUAUUUGAGCCGUGAAUAAUGGUCCAUUCACUUAAGAAAGUUGCAUGGAUGACUCAAUUACUGCUGUAAAUAGCGGAUCCUAGUCCUCUAUGAUUGCAAGUUAUGCCAAGGACAGAGUGAGAAAACUGACAUUUUGUAAGGUCUCCUUGUAACAGCAAUAAGUGAACCAUGGUCUAUGGACCGCCACUAUUUGUGCCUACUCGUCAUGUACCACUUCUUAGUAGGUACUUGUAUCGAAGGAAAACCAUUCAUCAAUUGGAGAGGUGCAUGGCUAUGGAUCUGACGUGAUAAGUCAGGGCUAAAGGGGAAGAAAUGGAUGGUUUAUUCACUUCUUCUUGUUUUGGGGUAGAUGUAACACAAAAUCAUGUAAAAUCAUGUGACGUGUAUAGAUCAUCUAAUAGAGUGUACUGAGUGAGCAAAAAGAGUUGGUAGAUUCAUGCUGAUCACAAUAAAAAUGAGUGAAAACAAGAUUAGCAGUAAAUAUACAAUUCUUUUUAUAGUCGACUGACCGCAUUUGCUUUAAAGUGUAGUAAGUUUUUUUACUGUAUAUCUAUAAUUGUAAGGUUAAAGUAUUAACAAUACUAAUAAUAUCAAUUACGUAUCCACACAUUAAAAAGUGUAGUUAAUCACAUUGUAAAAAAAUUCGUUAAAUAUUUUCGGAAUGGGAAUAAAAUCACAUAUUAUAGUUAUUUGUUACUCUUGUAAGAUAAAGUAUAAUAUGAGUGAGAAUAUUAUAUGAUUUCUCUACAAGUUUAGUACAUUCUUGUAUGAUCAAAUAUGUGUAUCAUUUGACAUGAUAUGGGGGAUAAAAUAAGAGAUAUGAGAGUUCCUUUUUGGUAAAAGCAGUCCACCAGGAAAAGAAGUAGGUUUCAUUUUGCAAGUGUUUUUAAACGAUUGAAAAUUGUUUCAAAAACAUUUUCUUAAAAAACACUUACAAUAAUUUAAAAGCAUUUGUGAGACGAGCAAAUACAUAAGACAAUCCCUAUCACUUUCUCAAGGCCCAAGUUUAUGAAACCCAUAACACAUGGCCCAAACCAACAUAAUUUCUUCCUCUAAAAGAAGUGGCUUUUCGAAGAAUUCAAAUUAUGGGACAACGGCUAGUAAAAUCCACGAGAUGUCGCCAAGCAGAUCCACCUCUUCAGCGCCGCUCGUCUUUCUUCAUCAUGCAAGCAAAGGAGCAGCAAGCAUUCAAAAUCAAAGUUCAAGCCAAAUGCAAGAACUUCGAUUUCAAAUUUAAAUCGACACAAAUCGUGCCCGCUUGGAAGCUCCACCGAAUCUCGAUUUCCCUCAAGCUUCGCAAAUUUUUUCUCAGAGUGAAUUCAGAAUCCACAGUUCAUCAAACAAAAAAGAAUCCAGAAUUCGUAGCAUCAAUUUCUCGGCGGCAGCAACAUCAUCAGCAGCAGAAACAAUCCUUGAAAUCCAAACUCAGAAUUUUCAAGAAAUUAAUUAUUCACCGCUCUAAGAAGCCUCGGUGCCCAGAAGCUGAAUCCACUGUAUAUCGACUGAAACAGUUUGCUUAUGAGGUAUGCGUGAAUCACAGUUUAACACGUAUACAUUUUUUAUUUAUUUUGUUUAGUUUGGUUGUGUUGCUACUUCUAAUGGUUGGCUUAAAUAAUUAUCUAAAGUAUUGUGGAGAACUUGUUUGGGAUUGUAUUCGGAUGGCUUGGAACUUUGCACGGAUGGCCUAAGUUCUUAAUUUGAUUCACUUAUUGUUUCACAGCACUUUGUUACAACAAGAUUUUAUGAGGAUUUUGAGUGCUUAUA